GUCAAAUACGUCACAUUCUCAUUCAUUUUGAAACAUGAAGAAGCAUUGAUAAGAAGAUAAUUUGUAUUGUUUGCCAACCGCUAAAAAGGAAGCUAUUGUUUGCCGUGUCGCAUUCUACACAUGUUCAGUCCAAGCCUGAUGCAGGGCAGUUCUCCCGGGUUAAGGGGUCCCUGCUGCAGUUUCACCAGUAAAGACAAUUAAUGGUUACAAUUCACUUGAAGGACCAUGGAGGCAUGGUGGUAUGGAGCGCCAAGAGGACAUAAAGUGGAAGUUCUAAGGGACACUGGUCCAGCGUGGUACAGAGUCAUCAUGGGUUAUUCUUUGGGGAGGUGACAGGGCCUGCCUUUCUCCAGAUGGACAGUAAAAUGCCAUCAACAGAAUGCUAUCAAAGACUACCUGGAGGGAGGAUAUAUUAAAGCAAGCAAUCUCU
Carassius auratus (goldfish) is the source of this 430-nucleotide long non-coding RNA. Lineage: Eukaryota; Metazoa; Chordata; Actinopteri; Cypriniformes; Cyprinidae. The record is from Ensembl.